ACGGGUGAGUAACAGGUGGAUAAUCUGCCCUUCGGCGGGGGAUAACGGUUGGAAACGGCCGCUAAUACCGCGUACGGUUGCGAGGCCUCCGGGCUUUGCAAAGAAAGGCGCUUCGGCGUCGCCGAGGGAUGAGUCUGCCUCCCAUUAGCUAGUUGGUGAGAUAAAAAGCUCACCAAGGCAACGAUGGGUAGCCGAGCUGAGAGGUUGAUCGGCCACACUGGAACUGAGACACGGUCCAG
RNAcentral lists this ribosomal RNA (239 nucleotides) under uncultured bacterium. Its description in RNAcentral is "partial 16S ribosomal RNA". It matches the Rfam family "Bacterial small subunit ribosomal RNA", at positions 102 to 334 of the family's 1533-position model. The record is from RNAcentral.